CCUACGGGGCGCAGCAGUGGGGAAUAUUGGACAAUGGGCGAAAGCCUGAUCCAGCCAUGCCGCGUGUGUGAAGAAGGCCUUCGGGUUGUAAAGCACUUUCAGUGGGGAAGAAAGCCUUGGGGCUAAUACCCUCGAGGAAGGACAUCACCCACAGAAGAAGCACCGGCUAACUCCGUGCCAGCAGCCGCGGUAAUACGGAGGGUGCGAGCGUUAAUCGGAAUUACUGGGCGUAAAGCGCGCGUAGGCGGUCUGAUAAGCCGGUUGUGAAAGCCCCGGGCUCAACCUGGGAACGGCAUCCGGAACUGUCGGGCUAGAGUGCAGGAGAGGAAGGUAGAAUUCCCGGUGUAGCGGUGAAAUGCGUAGAGAUCGGGAGGAAUACCAGUGGCGAAGGCGGCCUUCUGGACUGACACUGACGCUGAGGUGCGAAAGCGUGGGUAGCAAACAGGAUUAGAUACCCCAGUAGUC
RNAcentral lists this ribosomal RNA (465 nucleotides) under Vreelandella stevensii. RNAcentral describes it as "partial 16S ribosomal RNA". It matches the Rfam family "Bacterial small subunit ribosomal RNA", at positions 338 to 795 of the family's 1533-position model. The record is from RNAcentral. Lineage: Bacteria; Pseudomonadati; Pseudomonadota; Gammaproteobacteria; Oceanospirillales; Halomonadaceae.